Non-coding RNA from Rattus norvegicus (Norway rat), 1138 nucleotides. NCBI's taxonomy places the organism in Eukaryota, Metazoa, Chordata, Mammalia, Rodentia, Muridae. The record is from RefSeq and is a predicted model, not a curated record.
AUCAGUGCCACAGUCCAAUGAGAGGUCCUUGACACACACACACACACACACACACACACACACACACACACACACACACACACACACACACACACACACACACACACACACACACACACACACACACACACACACACACACACACACACACACACACAGCUUGACACUGUACCAGCUGCAGACCGCAGUGGCCCUGGACUGCGCACUGAGUCUUGCCUUCUUCCUCCCUUCCGGAGAAUGUGUCCCGCCCAUCUGUCAGUCAUUGCUCAGUGGCCAGUGCCUCUCUCGCCUCUCUUCAUUUUGGCUCCUUUUUCCUCAUUACUUUGUGAAGCUGCGCAUCCAGGUUUUGGAGAGGGAAAUGAAAGGAGACAUGAGUUAUUUGUGGUGGCGCACAGCUGUAACCCCCGGCGCUUGAGAGGUGGAGGCACGAGGAUCACGAGUUGUAAAUUAUCCCCCGGGGUUACUUAGCAAGUUUGAGGCCGGCCUGGUCCUCCCUGUUGCAAAACAAGCUAAAAGGAAAUAGAAAGACACGAACCAGCUGAUGUGCGGAGUCGGGGACCCCUUCGGAUGAACCUCUAAAACUCGAAGGCCCAUUCUGGCCAUUGGAGGAGCCUCUAGAGGUGGGGACAGAGGCCCCCGAAGGAACAGAUCGACUGGAUCUAGGGAAGGAAUGGCUGCUGCCCACUGCGUCGGACAUUUCCAAGCCUCAGGCAGCAGCUGCGUGCGCUUGACGGGAUCCUGCUGACUGGCAAACCGACGAAACGGAGUCAAAAAUAGCCCAGACAUUCCUCAACACUGAGCAGACUGUAGCACGUCCCCAAGGCUCCUUCCCCAAAUUCAUAGACGUGUGCAACACCCGGGGCGGGGGAGUGAGAAGGGAUUAAAAGACCAGCCACACAGCAUCAUCAAACAGAUCUGCAGACAAACGCCAUGGGGCCAGAGAGAUGGCUCAGAGGUUAGCACUGACUGCUCCUGCAGAGGACUCUGGUUCGGUUCCCAGAACCCAUGCGGCAGCCCAGCAAUGUCUGUAUCUCCAGUUCCAGGGGAUCUGACACCCCCUUCUGACCUCCGUGAACACCACGCCCACACACAGAGCACAAGCAUACAUGCAGGCAAAACACCCAUAUGCGUAAGAUAA